Molecule: ribosomal RNA, 451 nt
Filed under: uncultured bacterium
Lineage: Bacteria
Description: partial 16S ribosomal RNA
Rfam family: Bacterial small subunit ribosomal RNA
Source: RNAcentral
AACGAACGCUGGCGGCAGGCUUAACACAUGCAAGUCGAACGCCUGUAGCAAUACAGGAGUGGCAGACGGGUGAGUAACACGUGGGAACGUGCCCAAAGGUACGGAACAACUCCGGGAAAAUGGAGCUAAUACCGUAUGUGCCCGAACGGGGAAAGAUUUAUCGCCUUUGGAUCGGCCGGCGUCUGAUUAGCUAGUUGGUGUGGUAAUGGCCUACCAAGGCGACGAUCAGUAGCUGGUCUGAGAGGCUGGCCAGCCACACUGGGACUGAGACACGGCCCAGACUCAUACGGGAGGCAGCAGUGGGGAAUAUUGGACAAGGGGCGCAAGCCUGAUCCAGCCAUGCCGCGUGAGUGAUGAAGGCCUUAGGGUUGUAAAGCUCUUUCGCCAGGGACGAUAAUGACGGUACCUGGAUAAGAAGCCCCGGCUAACUUCGUGCCAGCAGCCGCGGUAA